CUCGGCGCGGAGCGGUGGUGGCUCGCCUGCCUGAUCGGCGUGCCGCUGAGCCUCGUGGCGGCGGCGGCGUUCCACGCGCUCGUGGAGC
This 88-nucleotide transfer RNA is filed under the name Microbacterium azadirachtae. RNAcentral describes it as "tRNA-Ile". Lineage: Bacteria; Bacillati; Actinomycetota; Actinomycetes; Micrococcales; Microbacteriaceae. The record is from RNAcentral.